GGGGCCCACAGCCUCGCUCGCCGCGGCGGGGGACGACGGAGGAUGCGGCGGCCCUUCCUAGACGGCCGCCCCGCACCUCGGUGGGGCCGGGGCGAUCCAUUUAGAAGAGAGAGGAGCAACCCCAUGGAUUUCCAUUGAUACACGUGGAGCUUAGCAAGAAUGAAAUAGCCAAGGAAGCCUCCGAAACCAAGACAACCCGUGUGUGUUUACACAUACUAUGUAUAAACAGGAAAAUAAAGCAAAAGAAAACAGGAAAAUAAAGUCAAAGAUGUCAUGAA
Tyto alba (common barn owl) is the source of this 278-nucleotide long non-coding RNA. RefSeq lists it as uncharacterized. NCBI's taxonomy places the organism in Eukaryota, Metazoa, Chordata, Aves, Strigiformes, Tytonidae. The record is from RefSeq and is a predicted model, not a curated record. The transcript is spliced from 2 exons.